CCUACGGGAGGCAGCAGUGGGGAAUAUUGGGCAAUGGACGCAAGCCUGACCCAGCAACGCCGCGUGAAUGAUGAAGGCCUUCGGGUUGUAAACUUCUUUUCUCAGGGACGAAGCCAGUGACGGUACCUGAGGAAUAAGCCACGGCUAACUACGUGCCAGCAGCCGCGGUAAUACGUAGGUGGCAAGCGUUAUCCGGAUUUACUGGGGGUAAAGGGUGUGUAGGCGGGUAAGUAAGUCAGCUGUGAAAACCCUGGGCUCAACCUGUGGCCUGCAUGCAAAACUGUUUUUCUUGAGUACUGGAGAGGCAGGUGGAAUUCCUAGUGUAGCGGUGAAAUGCGUAGAUAUUAGGAGGAACACCAGGGGCGAAGGCGAUUUGCUGGACAGCAACUGACGCUGAGGCGCGAAAGCGUGGGGAGCAAACAGGAUUAGAUACCCUUGUAGUC
Molecule: ribosomal RNA, 443 nt
Filed under: uncultured bacterium
Lineage: Bacteria
Description: partial 16S ribosomal RNA
Rfam family: Bacterial small subunit ribosomal RNA
Source: RNAcentral